UAGAGAAAUCAAACAACCUGACAAAGAUCUCAGGUGACAAUGAUUUUUUUUCCUUCUUUUGAGUCUCCAAAGGACAGAAUUCACAUUGUCAUGGAUGUAAAUAAUUACAAGAGAAGAUGGUAAAUUAUUUACUUGGACAGAAAAAGCAACAUUGGAGUCCUCCUAAGGAACUGAUAUUUAGCUAUUGCCUUGUGAUAGAGUUGAAGGUACAAGAGACCUAGAGUAAAUUACAGCACCUCUCUGGAGGCUCCUGUGUUCAUAAUACCAGAAACUGUAUUUCAAAUGCUCUCUGGACAGUCUUUGGGGUCACUAACAGUUCUGCAAAGCCAGAAUAACUCCUCUGGCACCUCUAGAUGUACUCUUUGAACUCCAGGACUAUAACAAAGAUGAGACAUGUGCCUGGGGACCUUCCACAGGACCAGGUUUUGGGACUCUGGUGCUGCAGCCAUCAGAGAAUACUGAAUGGAAUAACAGUAGGAACUGGAGAGACUACGGUAGAUGUUUUCAUAAGUUUACUGAGUUCAGAACUGGUCUCUGAGGAACAAGGAUGACUAAUGCGUACUGGCAUAACUUUAAAAGUGAACCUAUAGAGACAUAGUAGGAAACUACACACUAGUCAGUUUGACAUGAGUUGUGAACAAAAGCCUUUGAAACUCUUUUAAGAGUCAAAGAGGAGAACAUUUGGAAAAGAGCAGAUUAACAGAAAAUAGCCAGCGUGGCUUCAGGAAGGGGAGGUCACCAUGGCUCACUAGCAGAGGGGAAUUCUUUGCGGAUGUUACUGCUGGGCUAAGGGGGGGCUGUGGUGCACCAUCACUGAGGCUGGGUGUUUCUCAAAGCAAUCUGACAAGCUCCACAGGGGGACCAAAUGGGCAAGGUACAGAGUUCGUGGAACUAGAGGAGACUGCACACUCAGACUGAGUAGGAGGUGAAGCAGAGACUAAAAAUGAUGACCUAAAUGAUGACUUCAAAAUUUUAAAGGUGAAAAGUAAAAGAGGGCUACAAAGUGCUGCAGGAACUGGCUUGAAUAAAGGAAAAAAAAAAAAAAAAUACUUACAAAACCAAAACAAACAGAAAAGCACAAAAAAGUGAGGAAAGCUUGUUACUGAUUUAGCAGACAGUGACCAAGAUUGCCAGUCCUUGGAAAAUAAUAAGCCUCUCAAUGUACUGUAAGCUAGGUAAGAAUUGCUAUGGUCCUUUCAUAGAAGAAGGAAAACAGAAGCACCACAAUAUUAAUGGUUUGCUCAAGCUCACACCUCCUACUUCAGCUGUCUGGCUCAUCAGCAGCACUUGAAGGAGAAAGGAAGACCUGGGACUAGGAUCCUCACAUGUAAGUAAAAGGGAAAAUGUUUUUUCAAUAUCUUGUUUUAAAACGAACAUUCUUGAAAUCUGGGUGGAAAAUCUUGUGAUACAAGGGAAAGAUGUUGAUUGAUCUUCCCUUGGAAUCUGUACAUUGAAUUCCACCCUCUGCCCUACCUGAUGAGGUCCCCAAUGCUGAGAACUCUCAAGCACCCAAGUGUGAAUCAGGGCAAUUUUUUCCAGAAUUACCCUCACAGCAAGAUGGCUUUCAAAAAUCACCACCCUUUAUCUCCUGGUAGAAAUAUACCAUACCCACCGAGGUUUCAAAGAUGCAGAUUAAAAUAACACCAUAAUGCAACUGAACUUCACCUAAUUGCCAGCUAGGAAAUAACACAAAGCUACUUACACCAGAAAAAAAUACUCUGGAGGAAGGUUCAUGAACACGUAUUGCUGUUACCACCAUAUUGAUGAGCACUUGCAAUAAACCCACUUUUUAUUUUAUUAGUAGCCUUCUGCUGUCCCUCAACGUCAUGAUUCCCAACUGCUGCCACACGGACCCCAGUUCUGGGACCUACGCCAGAGUGUAGGUGCAGCAGGGAGGCUGCAACCCUGCAUUUCUAAUCACAGUCACCUUUCUGAAGGGAAGAAAACAAACUCGCUUUCUUCCAAUAUUCUCUUUCUCAAAGACGCACAGUAGGCCACUCUAGAAAGGGAGCCAGAAAACAAAUAAAGGAAGAUGAGGAAGGUGAGGAAUAUGAAGUGGCUUCCAGACCAACUAGGAUUCUUCUUCUCUGAGAGGAGAUGACUGUGAGAGGUCAUGAUGGAAAAAAAAUAAAAUUAUGGAUUGUCUGUUUAUUAACCACCUUUCCCUGGUUAUUGCAAUAAAAGCAUUUUUAAAGAAAAUCCCAACCCAUCUGGCUGGUGCAACUUGGAAGUAUAGUUGCCGAAAGGAACAAAAAAAUAUGUGGAUGAAAAAUAUUCAUGGCACAUGAAAUAAAAGAGGAAGUUAUUCCUUCAGAGAAAGAGAUGAUAAUACCUAAAGUACAAGAGAUAUUAAUGACUACUGUAGUACUGAUCAGUGCUGAGGCUGGAGGAGCUCUGCAGUAGGAACACUCAUUUCACUAUAAGCAAGUACAGCCCCUGGCACAGAGUAUCCCAAAUGAAAGGCACUACCAACAAUAAAGCAUACACUGCCAAAAAGGAUUCCAUGAAGAAUGAGACCUGAAAGUAAUUUUACAUAAUAUUUUCACAAUGUUUUGUAAUGUCCUGUCUAUACCAUGUGUUUUUGAUCUGAUACAAAAUGUAUUCUUAAGAUAGGAUAUUCUUUUGUAGAGUAAUUUCCAAUAUUACCUGUAGGAACUAUUCCUGGAGUAUGUAAAACACUAAAAUUGGAAAGAACUUCUGAAGUUGGGUCUUCCAGUUUCUACACAUCAACUUAUCAUUUUUACCCAUGCAGAGUGAGUGUAGACAGCUAACAGGACAGAACAACAACAAAAGGCUGCAGCAGGACUUCCUGGGGACCAUAGCAGAAGUUUAGUCUAUGAUCUUCUCUGUAUUACAUGUUCUGAGUCAGACACUCCUCUGCUUCUCGAAAAAGAAAAAGAAAAAGGAAAAGGAAAAUAAAAGGAAAAAGAAAAAGAAAAAGAAAAAGAAAAAGAAAAAGAAAAAGAAAAAGAAAAAGAAAAAGAAAAAGAAAAAGAAAAAGAAAAAGAAAAAGAAAAAGAAAAAGAAAAAAAGAAAAAGAAAAAGAAA
Molecule: long non-coding RNA, 3048 nt
Organism: Prinia subflava (tawny-flanked prinia)
Lineage: Eukaryota; Metazoa; Chordata; Aves; Passeriformes; Cisticolidae
Exons: 5
Source: RefSeq, a predicted model, not a curated record